GGAGAGCCUGCUGGAGACCCGGGACGUGAACUGGACGUCGAUCAGGCCGGUGUACAUCUACGGCCCGCUCAACUACAACCCCGUGGAGGAGUGGUUCUUCCACCGGCUCAAGGCUGGCCGCCCCAUCCCUGUCCCCGGUGCCGGCAACCAAAUCACCCAGCUCGGCCAUGUCAAGGACUUGGCGACGGCGUUCGUGCUGGCGCUCGGCAACCCGAAGGCGAGCAAGCAGGUGUUCAACAUCUCCGGCGCCAAGUACGUCACCUUCGACGGUCUAGCACGGGCGUGCGCCAAGGCUGGAGGAUUCCCCGAGCCGGAGAUCGUCCACUACAACCCCAAGGACUUCGAUUUCGGGAAGAAGAAGGCCUUCCCCUUCAGAGACCAGCAUUUCUUCGCGUCAAUCGAGAAGGCGACCUUGGAGCUCGGGUGGAAGCCGGAGUACGACCUGGUGGAGGGCCUCACCGACUCGUACAACCUCGACUUCGGCCGCGGCACGUUCAGGAAGGCGGCCGACUUCACCACCGACGACAUGAUCCUCGGCAAGAAGCUCGUCAGCGUCUGAGCUCGCCGCCGUCCUUUCCGGACAGCGGACGGAUUGCUUGCUGCGCGACGCGAGCGGCUGACCGGCCGGGCCGCCAUGGCCGGUGGGCAGGAGCAAGCGGAGACGGUUUCAGUUUUGUUAUCAACGCUGGUUUGGUACAAUAUGGAUAGUUGGAUACACGC
Molecule: unclassified non-coding RNA, 720 nt
Filed under: Hevea brasiliensis (rubber tree)
Lineage: Eukaryota; Viridiplantae; Streptophyta; Magnoliopsida; Malpighiales; Euphorbiaceae
Source: RNAcentral